CUCUCUCUCUCUCUUCCUCUCUCUCUCUCUCUUUCCCUCUCUAAACUUUGUUUCCUGCUCAGCCCCACAGAGACGCUGCCCAUUGGUUGAGAGUUUAUGUCCCUAAUCCUCUGGCCUCAGUGCCAGAAUGCAGUCACACCCACUGACUGGCUCUGAUGUAGGCACAGAAACAUUGCUCCCAGACUGUAACUAGUGUGUGUGUGUGUGUGUGUGUGUAUGUGUGUGUGUGUGUGUGUGUGUGUGUGCACAGAAACAUUGCUCCCAGACUGUAACUAUUGUGUGUGUGUGUGUGUGUGUGUGUGUGUGUGUGUGUGUGUGUGUGUGUGUGUGUGUGCACAGAAACAUUGCUCCCAGGCUGUAACUAGUGUGUGUUCACUGACGCUGUUGUUCUCUGUCCAACAAGCUUUUUCGGGCGCGGGCAUCCAAACCAUGAAACUAAAAUGGAACCAAAUACAAAAAGACACUCACAACCACUGAAGUAGAAAGGUAUAAAAAUUGAUAUGAAUAUUUCAUAACAUCUUUCAGAGGGUGACUUUCCUCUUCGCACUCCGCAAUGAGGAGUGAAUCCUGGAGUGGCAACGUGCCCACGAGCUCAGACUCGUCACGAAAUGUCCCUCACGGUUACAAGCAUGAGGAACAUGGAUGAAGAUGUUCCUACUUUCUUAUGUUUUGAGGAACUGCUACUUGUCUGAAGUGCUGUCAGGCCACAUGAAAUGUGAAAUUAGGUGAAAUAAGUGAAAUGAUUCCAUGAAGAAAAUCAUCAUAUUAUGGCAGCUAAAUACACAUGUUUUUAGUUGCUAUCAGCUUGAGCUAAUCAGCAAAUCACGAGUCUAGGCUCCUGAAGCUAUUCUAGGUGGGCUUCUGGGAUGGUCAGGUUAAUCUUUUACUCUGGGGCGUGGUAGUUCACUUGUGUUGUAGCCACAACAGUCGCCCUCACCCAAAGUAACUACAGUGUAUAGGUAACCAGUAGUUUGAACCCCGCACACAGUAGCCCACAGAAGAAAAGCAUAUCAUUACAAUAUGUCUGUGCUUGUUAAAGUGUAACAACCCAGUAUUUGUUUUGUAAACCCUUAAUGCACCUGGUGGUGCAGUUUUGGUAGUCUUGUAGUUCAUAUUUCACAUGUAAAAAACAUUUAGCCCAAACAUUAAGCUCAGAUGCGGGUCGACAUAUUUCAGGCUAUGAAGAACAGUCUGCCGUUGCCUGUGCAACAAAGGGUUUGUUUAUGCUUCACUAAGAUCUCCUAGAUGUUUUCAUUAAAUAUAUAAAAGUCUGUGACUGGCCAGGCAAGUUGCUUUUUCAGACAAGUGGAAACUCUCAAUUGACAAUGACACGUUGUACUAACUCACUUACAAUUACGGUUAGUCAAAGUUAGUCAAAACUAUUAACGUCAAAGUCAGUCAAAACUAAAUUCUAAAAUCUUGUUAUUGGCCUGUUGCUCGCCUGUCAGGGCAAGAAGCCAACGGGCUGAAACAGCUGCCUGAGCAAGAUAAGGAACAUACGUCAAUGAUUCCUUUAAAAUCAAACUUAUGUACGCAUCUUAAUGGGCUAUUUUCUCAAACCUUCCUUGAGACAUUUAAGUCCGGGAUUCUGUUCACAAUAACGAACGCAUUCAUUAUUAGGCUGCCAUGCGCCUACGAUUUCCUGGUCAAAGCCGAGAGUCGAAAUGCGGUAGCGGUAGUCGAAUAGAAAGUUUAACAAAAAGCCCGGAGAAUAUUUCCCAGAUGUUUCCUGUCCAGAAUUUAGCAGGAGAUGUGGUCAGACUGUUGCAUUUACAGUUUGGGUUACUAUUUACCCCGCACAACAACCGCAAGCAUACGAAGCGGACACAUGCCGUUCUUGAGAAAUGAUCGGGGUGAAAAGUUAACACAGCCUACCUUUGGUGCUCCUCUUCAAGGUUGAAGAGAAUAGAGAGAGAGGGGUUGGGAAUUUUGGCCGUUUAUGUGCAUCAGACUCCCCGUAGCCUACUGUAACACACUCGCACACUGAAAAAGCACAAGCGAUGAACUGGCACGCCUCUGCGUUAACGCCCCAUCGCAUUCCCCAGUCACCUCGGGCGAGUCAGUACAGUGUGCCAUGCGUGCACUGUACACGCAGUAUGUGCAGUCAUUACAAACGUGGAGAGUAUGGCUAAUUAGAAUGCGAAAUUGUUGCGCUAUUAAUUCAACACAUCUUCGUGUGUGGAUAAAGCAAGUGGGAGGUUUACAUUGUCCUGUUUACAGUAAGGGCCU
Molecule: long non-coding RNA, 2229 nt
Organism: Clupea harengus (Atlantic herring)
Lineage: Eukaryota; Metazoa; Chordata; Actinopteri; Clupeiformes; Clupeidae
Source: Ensembl